This is a non-coding RNA of Plectropomus leopardus (leopard coralgrouper), 125 nucleotides long. NCBI's taxonomy places the organism in Eukaryota, Metazoa, Chordata, Actinopteri, Perciformes, Serranidae. The record is from RefSeq and is a predicted model, not a curated record.
UCUCUGAAGCAGGGCAAAAAUGUCUCUCUGCUGCCUGUCCUCCACUACGGCAAAGAAGACAACCUCUGGAUCACUGAACUAGAAAGGAUCUUUGGUUUCCCCAAACAUUACACGGACGUGAGGAA